UACGAAGGGGGCUAGCGUUGUUCGGAUUUACUGGGCGUAAAGCGCACGUAGGCGGAUCGUUAAGUCGGGGGUGAAAUCCUGGAGCUCAACUCCAGAACUGCCUUCGAUACUGGAAGACUCGAGUCCGGGAGAGGUGAGUGGAACUGCGAGUGUAGAGGUGAAAUUCGUAGAUAUUCGGAAGAACACCAGUGGCGAAGGCGGCUCACUGGACCGGCAUUGACGCUGAGGUGCGAAAGCGUGGGGAGCAAACAGG
RNAcentral lists this ribosomal RNA (253 nucleotides) under uncultured bacterium. RNAcentral's name for it is "partial 16S ribosomal RNA". It matches the Rfam family "Bacterial small subunit ribosomal RNA", at positions 524 to 776 of the family's 1533-position model. The record is from RNAcentral.